This 240-nucleotide unclassified non-coding RNA is filed under the name soil metagenome. RNAcentral's name for it is "partial contains 5.8S ribosomal RNA, internal transcribed spacer 2, and large subunit ribosomal RNA". The record is from RNAcentral.
AACCAUAGAAACCUGCGGAGUACCUGCGGAGGGAUCAUCAAAGAAGACACAUAAUAACCCAUGAGGGGGAGAGAGGGGAGGGAGAGAGAUGAUCUCUCUUUUUCCUUUCCUUUCCUUUCUCUUGGGUAACCAAACAACUUACAUGACUAGGAAAUCAGAGAGGGAAAGAGAGAGAUGGGAUAUAUAGAUAGGAAAGUGCAGUGCAGUGCGCUGCUUGUCAGACACUUGCCUUGCCCUUGA